UACGUAGGUCCCGAGCGUUGUCCGGAUUUAUUGGGCGUAAAGCGAGCGCAGGUGGUCUUUUAAGUCUGAUGUGAAAGCCUUCGGCUUAACCGGAGUAGUGCAUUGGAAACUGGGAGACUUGAGUGCAGAAGAGGAGAGUGGAACCCCAUGUGUAGCGGUGAAAUGCGUAGAUAUAUGGAAGAACACCAGUGGCGAAAGCGGCUCUCUGGUCUGUAACUGACGCUGAGGUUCGAAAGCGUGGGUAGCAAACAGG
Molecule: ribosomal RNA, 253 nt
Filed under: uncultured bacterium
Lineage: Bacteria
Description: partial 16S ribosomal RNA
Rfam family: Bacterial small subunit ribosomal RNA
Source: RNAcentral